Molecule: transfer RNA, 72 nt
Filed under: Caecilia volcani
Lineage: Eukaryota; Metazoa; Chordata; Amphibia; Gymnophiona; Caeciliidae
Description: tRNA-Lys
Source: RNAcentral
CACUGAAUAGCCAACAUGCACGGCAUCAGCCUUUUAAGCUGCCUUACGGUGCUCACCAACCACCUUCAGUGA